This 436-nucleotide ribosomal RNA is filed under the name bacterium Ellin423. Its description in RNAcentral is "bacterial SSU rRNA". It matches the Rfam family "Bacterial small subunit ribosomal RNA", at positions 39 to 492 of the family's 1533-position model. The record is from RNAcentral. Lineage: Bacteria; Bacillati; Actinomycetota; Actinomycetes; Micromonosporales; Micromonosporaceae.
GCGGCGUGCUUAACACAUGCAAGUCGAGCGGAAAGGCCCUUCGGGGUACUCGAGCGGCGAACGGGUGAGUAACACGUGAGCAACCUGCCUCUGACUUUGGGAUAACCCUCGGAAACGGGGGCUAAUACCGGAUAUUACCCCGUGGGGCAUCUUGUGGGGUGGAAAGCUUUUGCGGUCAGGGAUGGGCUCGCGGCCUAUCAGCUUGUUGGUGGGGUGAUGGCCUACCAAGGCGGUGACGGGUAGCCGGCCUGAGAGGGCGACCGGCCACACUGGGACUGAGACACGGCCCAGACUCCUACGGGAGGCAGCAGUGGGGAAUAUUGCACAAUGGGCGGAAGCCUGAUGCAGCGACGCCGCGUGAGGGAUGACGGCCUUCGGGUUGUAAACCUCUUUCAGCUCCGACGAAGCGCAAGUGACGGUAGGAGCAGAAGAAGCG